GACGGAGGGUGCUAGCGUCGUUCGGAAUCACUGGGCGUAAAGGGCGCGUAGGCGGCUGGUCAAGUCGGCUGUGAAAGCCCGGGGCUCAACCCCGGAGGUGCAGCCGAGACUGAUCGGCUCGAGGCCGGAAGAGGAGGGUGGAAUACCCAGUGUAGAGGUGAAAUUCGUAGAUAUUGGGAGGAACACCGAUGGCGUAGGCAGUCUACUGGCUCGUUUCUGACACUAAGGCACGAAAGCGUGGGGAGCAAACGGG
This 253-nucleotide ribosomal RNA is filed under the name uncultured bacterium. Its description in RNAcentral is "partial 16S ribosomal RNA". It matches the Rfam family "Bacterial small subunit ribosomal RNA", at positions 524 to 776 of the family's 1533-position model. The record is from RNAcentral.